CUAUGUGUUGUUGGGUAGGGGAGCGUUCUGUAAGCCUGUGAAGGUGUACUGUGAGGUAUGCUGGAGGUAUCAGAAGUGCGAAUGCUGACAUAAGUAACGAUAAAGCGGGUGAAAAGCCCGCUCGCCGGAAGACCAAGGGUUCCUGUCCAACGUUAAUCGGGGCAGGGUGAGUCGACCCCUAAGGCGAGGCCGAAAGGCGUAGUCGAUGGGAAACAGGUUAAUAUUCCUGUACUUGGUGUUACUGCGAAGGGGGGACGGAGAAGGCUAUGUUGGCCGGGCGACGGUUGUCCCGGUUUAAGCGUGUAGGCUGGUUUUCCAGGCAAAUCCGGAAAAUCAAGGCUGAGGCGUGAUGACGAGGCACUACGGUGCUGAAGCAACAAAUGCCCUGCUUCCAGGAAAAGCCUCUAAGCAUCAGGUAACAUCAAAUCGUACCCCAAACCGACACAGGUGGUCAGGUAGAGAAUACCAAGGCGCUUGAGAGAACUCGGGUGAAGGAACUAGGCAAAAUGGUGCCGUAACUUCGGGAGAAGGCACGCUGAUAUGUAGGUGAAGUCCCUCGCGGAUGGAGCUGAAAUCAGUCGAAGAUACCAGCUGGCUGCAACUGUUUAUUAAAAACACAGCACUGUGCAAACACGAAAGUGGACGUAUACGGUGUGACGCCUGCCCGGUGCCGGAAGGU
Molecule: ribosomal RNA, 679 nt
Filed under: Escherichia coli
Lineage: Bacteria; Pseudomonadati; Pseudomonadota; Gammaproteobacteria; Enterobacterales; Enterobacteriaceae
Description: partial 23S ribosomal RNA
Rfam family: Bacterial large subunit ribosomal RNA
Source: RNAcentral